This 2680-nucleotide long non-coding RNA is filed under the name Sus scrofa (pig). Its description in RNAcentral is "lncRNA (ENSSSCG00005001025.1)". Lineage: Eukaryota; Metazoa; Chordata; Mammalia; Artiodactyla; Suidae. The record is from RNAcentral.
CAGAUGGCAGCAUGAGCCUGGGUAUCCGGGUGAGCACUUGAAAUGUCAAAGCCAUGCAGCAAACCCUCCACAAACACCAAUUUGACACUUUCACCCCUCUUGUUACAAGCAGAGAUCUGAAACAUCUAAGCAGGUGUGUCACUUUAUUUUUAUUUUUUUAAGCGAAGGGAGAACAGCCAGUUCAUUUGCAUGAUCUCUAGCAGUUCUUUUCCAACGGAGCCAGACAGAGAUACAUGUUUAAGUGGUUGUCAUGGAAACCAGAGAGCAUUGCUCUCCCCCAAGGUCUGAAAGAAGGAUGAUGAAAAGUUUAAGCAAUCACCAUGGAAACGUAGAGGAGAUACAAGGCGGGUUCAGAUCCCAGCACACUAACAGAUCAGUCUUCAGGUGCUGAGGUCCUGGUGGAAGGUGAAUUCUGACUAUUCACUGUGGCUUCCAGAAUCAGGGCUGACCCAGAGGCCACAUCCACAGUCAUGGGCUCAGAGCAUCCCAGGGGCUCAGCAGUGAGUUUCCUCAGCAUGGCAGAAGCCCACAGAUCUGCUGUCACAAAGUGGAACCCUGCUCAGGUCUGCAGGAGAAAAGACAUUCGAAGCCCAGCCUGGUCUUUCUCUGGUCUUGACCAAGAUGUGUUCCCUUUCAUGUCUGUGAAUAACCAAAAGAAGCAAGAGGUUCCUGCCUCCCAUCACUAACUCUCUGGACCUCCACACUGGACCUCCACACUGGACAGCAGCUUCAUUUUUUGCUAAGGAGGAAAAGUUUAACCUGAUGAAUCACCAGCAGCACUUCCUGUGACAUUCCACGGAAAACUACAGUUUGCUUAAGAAAAACUCUGAAGUACUUCAGCUACUGCGGUUUCUGAUCUACACAGAAAUGGAAAAAUUUGAGUUCUUCUCUAGGCUGAUACACCGAAGCUAUUCCACCAACAUUUUUCUCUCUUGGAAGUUCCCAAUUAUCAGCACUACAUCUACCCUAUAAUCAGCCUGAAAUACUUAAAUGAACAGGGAUGUCCUGGGUGGGGGGGUGGAAUAUAGCAUUACCUCCAUGCCAAUCUCAUCCACGUACCGCUUUUUUUUUUCUUUUUUUCUUUUUGCUGCAACUGCAGCAUAUGGAAGUUCUUGGGGCCAGGGAUCAAAUCCAAGACACAGCUGCAACCUAUGCCACAGCUGCGGCAACACCAGAUCCUUAACCUACUGCACAGUGGCCUGAGCCACUGCUGCACAGACAAUGCCAAUCCUUAGUCUGCUGCACCACCGUGGGAACUCCAAAAUAGCACUUAUGCAACCAUCUCUUCCCAGUUUCCUCAUCUGUACCACUAAGCACAGAAAAUGAUUUGAAGGGCUAUUUUUUCAGUUCUCUCAGGGAUGGCAUCUAAUUAGCAUCAUUCUAGACACCUGGAUGCAAAGCUAAUCCACACACACAAAGGAUGCCUUUGGACACAGUUGACCUUGACUUUAUUGAUGGAGAUCUUUAUGGCAAGAGUCUUUAUGAUGAUGGAAAGGGAGUUAUUCUAGUAUCAAUAAUAUUCUAGCAGCAGAUAUGCCAAGAGGUCAGAGCAAUGAAGUCGCUGAACUCUUGAGAUGAUUACAAAUCUUUCAAGUUCUUGUCAAGAGCAAAUAGCUCAGAAGGGUAUAAAAGGAGAUUACUGCCCUUCUUAAGAAACCGGUUAGCAUGCUGAACAUAACACUGAUGAAUAUUAUCAAAUGAUCUUCAAGUGCACAAGCCUGGGCUAGAUGCAACAAAAGAAGAAGCCCAAGGAAAGUCGCUCGUGGAGACAGCCUUUGUGAUAUGAUGAUGAUGAACUGAGUUUCCCUUGCUUUUGUCGCCAUGUUGCCAAUGUAGCUUCCCUUAUGCUCAUCCCUGAUUCCAAACCGUGAAGACUCUGAAAGCCGAUGAAGGAUGGUGAGGCGAUGUUAGGUGAGACAGGCACAGCCAAUGCUUCUGAACUUAUUUCCCUCUGGAGCACAACUCAUCACUUUGCUAGAUGGCAACAUGAACUCUUUAAGGCUACCUUCAUUUUAAGUUUUUUUUCAGCCUAAAUAAAAUUCGAUUUUUAAAAUGAGCAUCAGAUGAAGACUCAUUACUGUUUGAAAAUGUUGACUUUUGAACAUUCAAAUAUAGCUCCAUAAAGAGCCACCCACGAUUGACAUUUUAUCUCAUUAAAGUGUUGUUAAUUAAGAACCACAGCCACGAGCAAUGACGAUUAAAGCAGCAGACCCCCAAAACUCUUCCUGAAACAAAAGGCAACUCGAAUUUGCUUAGAACCUAAAUCAAAGGAACACAGCCAUAUACGCCUGUUCACUCCAAGUCCACUAGGGGGCAGUGAAUGAUCAAGUUUCCACUAGGCGGCUGUAAUGAUGGUUGCUAUAUAUACACCUGAAGUGUGGCAGGCCCUUUACACAAAGUGAGCAGUGCGGCAGCGAUGACAGGUGUAGGGAGCAGCCAGUUACUGCUACCAGCAGUCUGUCAGAGGGAUGAAGUGAAAUGAGUCAUUUGCAUUUUUACCAAUGAACCUGCAUUAUGAUGAACAGGCACUGUCACCUGGAUAGGCCCUGGCUUCGCCUCCCUGACUUCUGCUGGACCGCUGCCAGUCACCAGGGCUGCAGCACGGUGGGCAGAGCAAGCCCAGGAGCCCGAUAUAACAGUCCCCUGGUGCUGAUGACCACAAGGGCACGAUGACCGUGGC